Molecule: long non-coding RNA, 705 nt
Filed under: Homo sapiens (human)
Lineage: Eukaryota; Metazoa; Chordata; Mammalia; Primates; Hominidae
Description: HSALNT0409233
Source: RNAcentral
GUUUUGUUUAGGAAAAACAUUCUGCAGCCCUAUUUAUUCCCUUGAAAUAAAGCCCUUCAGACAUUUGCAAAGGGCCAAAGUGAGGUCUUUGCUAUUUCAGACUUUAUUAUUGGGAAAGUAUCAGCCUCCAACACAAGAAAGAAACCACUGCAUACAGCAACUACAUAUUUCACUCGGCUCUAUAAAGCAGGAAACAGCAGGCUGAAAUGCAAAAGUUACUAUUAUUUUGCCUGGAAAUAAUUUCUGACUUUAACUUAAUCAUUCAACGUCUGACUUUGCUUUUCUAAUUACAUCAGCUGAUGGAUCUGUCAAUAUCAAGGAGCGCAAUGUGAGAAAGACACCAUCUCCCUCAGGCACUCCAGCUUCCUGCCACAUCCCAAAGGUGUCCACGUUAGGUUAACAGGCAUGUCUACAUUGUCCCAGUCUGAGGGAGUGUGAGAGUGUGUGAGAGACUACUCCUGCAAUUGAAUGACAUCCUGUCCAGGGCUGGUGCCUGCCUUGCAUCCUAACCUUCUGGCACAGCCUCCAGCCAUCCAAGAAGCUGAACUGGAAUACAUCAGUUGGAAAAUGAAUGAAGGAAUGAAUACAAAUAAUUGUAAAAUAAAAAUGUGUACAGUCCAUGAUAAUCACACAGAUGCGCAACCAUUAACAAUGUGGGAUGAAAGCACCUGCCUCUGCAAGUACAGAUGAGUCACUGCUUCUACA